RNAcentral lists this ribosomal RNA (574 nucleotides) under Bordetella bronchiseptica. RNAcentral describes it as "bacterial SSU rRNA". It matches the Rfam family "Bacterial small subunit ribosomal RNA", at positions 500 to 1071 of the family's 1533-position model. The record is from RNAcentral. Lineage: Bacteria; Pseudomonadati; Pseudomonadota; Betaproteobacteria; Burkholderiales; Alcaligenaceae.
UUUGUGUCCCCCCCGCGCGCGGUAAUAUGUAGGGCGCAAGCGUUAAUGGGAAUUAGUGGGUGUAAAGCGUGUGCAGGCGGUUUGGAAUGAAAGAUGUGAAAUCCCAGGUCUUAACCUUGGGGUUGCAUUUUUAACUACCGGGCUAGAGUGUGUCAGAGGGAGGUGGAAUUCCGCGUGUAGCAGUGAAAUGCGUAGAUAUGGGGAGGCACCACGAUGGAGAAGGCAGCUUCGUUGGAUAACAGUGACGGUCAUGCGAGAAAGCGUGGGGAGCACACAGGAUUAGAUCCCGUGGUAGUCCACGCCAUAAAAGAAGUCAAAUAGGUGUUGGGGCUUUCGGGCCUUGGUAGCGCAGCUAACGCGUGAAGCUGUCCGCCUGGGGAGUACGGUCGCAAGAUUAAAACUCAAAGGAAUUGACGGGGACCCGCACAAGCGGUGGAUGAUGUGGAUUAAUUCGAUGCAACGCGAAAAACCUUACCUACAUCUUGACAUGUCUGGAAUCCCGAAGAGAUUUGGGAGUCUCGCAAGAGAACCGGAACACAGGUGGUGCAUGGCUGUCGUCAGCUCGGUCGAAGAU